CAAAGACAGAGUGGAAUCCGGUGCCCUCACCUCCUUUUAAAUCCUGGUUCUCAGAGAAAGGACUCAGGAACCUGCGCAAGGGACCCAGUGGCCUGGCUGAUGAGAUCAAUUUCGAGGACUUCCUGACCAUCAUGUCCUACUUCCGGCCCAUCGACACCACCAUGGACGAGGAACAGGUGGAGCUGUCCCGGAAGGAGAAGCUGAGAUUUCUGUUCCACAUGUACGACUCGGACAGCGACGGCCGCAUCACUCUGGAAGAAUAUCGAAAUGUGGUCGAGGAGCUGCUGUCGGGAAACCCUCACAUCGAGAAGGAGUCCGCUCGCUCCAUCGCCGACGGGGCCAUGAUGGAGGCGGCCAGCGUGUGCAU
This 367-nucleotide small RNA is filed under the name Pan troglodytes (chimpanzee). RNAcentral's name for it is "processed transcript". The record is from RNAcentral. Lineage: Eukaryota; Metazoa; Chordata; Mammalia; Primates; Hominidae.